AGGACGAACGCUGGCGGCGUGCUUAACACAUGCAAGUCGAACGAUGAUGCCCAGCUUGCUGGGUUGAUUAGUGGCGAACGGGUGAGUAACACGUGAGUAACCUGCCCCUGACUUCGGGAUAACGCUGGGAAACUGGUGCUAAUACCGGAUAUGACGCAUCCUCGCAGUGGGGGGUGUGGUGGAAAGACUGGU
This 192-nucleotide ribosomal RNA is filed under the name uncultured soil bacterium. RNAcentral's name for it is "partial 16S ribosomal RNA". It matches the Rfam family "Bacterial small subunit ribosomal RNA", at positions 26 to 219 of the family's 1533-position model. The record is from RNAcentral.